This 441-nucleotide ribosomal RNA is filed under the name uncultured bacterium. RNAcentral describes it as "partial 16S ribosomal RNA". It matches the Rfam family "Bacterial small subunit ribosomal RNA", at positions 339 to 795 of the family's 1533-position model. The record is from RNAcentral.
CUACGGGGGGCUCCAGUGGGGAAUAUUGCACAAUGGGCGCAAGCCUGAUGCAGCAACGCCGCGUGAAGGAUGAAGGCCUUCGGGUCGUAAACUUCUGUCCUUGGGGAAGAAACAAAUGACGGUACCCAUGGAGGAAGCCCCGGCUAACUACGUGCCAGCAGCCGCGGUAAUACGUAGGGGGCAAGCGUUAUCCGGAAUUAUUGGGCGUAAAGAGUGCGUAGGUGGUUACCUAAGCGCAGGGUUUAAGGCAAUGGCUCAACUAUUGUUCGCCCUGUGAACUGGGCUACUUGAGUGCAGGAGAGGAAAGCGGAAUUCCUAGUGUAGCGGUGAAAUGCGUAGAUAUUAGGAGGAACACCAGUGGCGAAGGCGGCUUUCUGGACUGUUACUGACACUGAGGCACGAAAGCGUGGGGAGCAAACAGGAUUAGAUACCCCAGUAGUC